CUUUGUCCUCUGGAAUCUCAUCCCUUUGUUGUUACCCUCUAACCAAUCAACGUGCAGCCUUACCCGGGAACGCCCAUAAUCAUCGAGAGCCAGCCAAUCAAAUGAAUUUCUGCAGCAGGACUCCAUUUUGUUGGGUUAUAUGUGCAGUGGACGGGGCGUCCCGCGGCCGCUGGCUGGAACCUGUUGCUUCGCAGUUCCGUGUUGUGCAAUGGACGGUUUUUUCCUGCGCAGAUUAAAACGGUGCAGGGGUUAACACGAAGCGCUGACUAGGGCCCGAAUGAAGGAGCGGCUCUGACUGGGGAGUUAGGAGCGCGAGGCUCAGGUCGCAGCAG
This 332-nucleotide long non-coding RNA is filed under the name Oryzias sinensis (Chinese medaka). RNAcentral describes it as "lncRNA (ENSOSIG00000022403.1)". Lineage: Eukaryota; Metazoa; Chordata; Actinopteri; Beloniformes; Adrianichthyidae. The record is from RNAcentral.